RNAcentral lists this long non-coding RNA (233 nucleotides) under Phoenix dactylifera (date palm). RNAcentral describes it as "long non-coding RNA (PDAC_LNC013801)". Lineage: Eukaryota; Viridiplantae; Streptophyta; Magnoliopsida; Arecales; Arecaceae. The record is from RNAcentral.
AGUGAGGUUAUUGUAGUUUGACUACAUGUAUACAUGGUCUCUAGUCAUAUGGGUCCUUGUAGUGUAGAUUGGCUGCAGUAAGUUCACUGUAGGAGUAGGGUAUGCACUUACAUGAAAUCUAUCGACCUUGAUAGAAGAGGAGUGAUCCUAUGUGAUUUGUUAGACUGAGUUCUAAGACCUUGGCCAGGGCAGUAAUAUAAAGUGGAGAAAGAGUUUUUCACUAUCGAACUCGA